Tripterygium wilfordii is the source of this 1703-nucleotide RNA transcript. It is a transcript of the gene named protein REVEILLE 8-like, with no coding region annotated. The record is from RefSeq and is a predicted model, not a curated record. The transcript is spliced from 9 exons. Lineage: Eukaryota; Viridiplantae; Streptophyta; Magnoliopsida; Celastrales; Celastraceae.
UUUGUUGACCUAGUCCGUGUAUCUAGUAGAGAAGACUGAAGAGAGACGAUUUGGAGAGCACUAGUUCAUGUUUGUUGCUCUGGGUUUGGGUUUGGACUAGUUUGAUCUAAAUUGCUUUGUGACCAUACAUUUGUAACAAUUUCACAUGCAUUUGUUGAAUGACUGAAAAGGACUUGGAGCGGAUCAAAUUUGGCAAAAAGGAAACUGGGCGUAGUAGAGCCACCAAUUUGAUAUGCAUAGGGUCCCAAACAACGCACCACACAAACACCAAACACAAUUUAGCUGCUGCUAUUCACAUCUUUUCACUGUCACUUGCAAAGUUUUCGUACUAGAAUUCUGGAAUUGCGAUUUGUAUGGGUUUGAUCGUGGAUCCAGAGAUAAAUAGAUAGAUAGGUAUGAACGUGAACGCGUCGUCGUCGUCGUCAUCCGCAGCAGCCAACCAGAAUCCUUCUCAAUCGACGGGCUCUGAUGCGUCGGGGAAGAAGGUCCGGAAACCCUACACAAUAACUAAAUCACGCGAGAGCUGGACCGAGGAGGAGCACGACAAGUUCCUUGAAGCUCUUCAACUAUUUGAUCGUGACUGGAAAAAAAUUGAAGAUUUUGUGGGUUCAAAGACAGUAAUCCAGAUUCGGAGUCAUGCACAGAAGUACUUCCUGAAGGUCCAAAAGAAUGGGACACUUGCACAUGUUCCUCCUCCUCGCCCUAAACGGAAAGCUGCUCAUCCAUACCCACAGAAGGCAUCUAAAAAUGUUCUAAUGCCAUUGCAAUCAUCUAUGGCUUAUCCUUCUUCAAUGAAUACGCUUGUACCCGGGUACAGAACAUGGGAUGAUGCCUCUUUGCUGAUAAACUCUCCAAGUAGCAAAGCCAUGACAUCCCAAGACGAAUUUGCCAACCUUAAUGGUGCAGAAGGCUUGCCUGAUGUUGGAUCAAUGGGGGUUGCAAGGAUUAAUAAUGGUAAUGUUGGUGGCAUUGCAACCUCAGCCAGAACAUUUCCUGGUUCUAAGAUACCUAAGCAAGGGAAACAAGCUCCAAUGCUUCAUGGUAUACCGGACUUUGCUGAAGUGUAUAGCUUCAUUGGAAGUGUAUUUGAUCCAGACACGGAAGGCCAUGUGCAAAAGCUCAAGGAAAUGGAUCCCAUAAAUUUUGAAACUGUUUUGUUAUUGAUGAGGAACCUCACUGUUAACUUGUGUAGUCCUGAUCUUGAGCCGACUUUGGUCUCCUUGGUUGGCUCAGAGGAAGGUCCUGUCUUCGUAUGAUGUCAAUACCAAAACCGUGGGAGCUGGUGUAGAUACUGUUGCAAAGAACCAAUCCAAUGAUUUACCAUGUUGAACUUUUGCUACUCACAGUCUGUCGACCAGAUGCUUAGAUGUAUGUUGGGGGCGGAUUAUGGAGCCAAAACCAUGGGAGAGUGUCAAUGAUGUUGAAUGGGAGCAAAUUGUCCGGUGAUUCUGGGGAGGUCUGGAGCUUGAUUACCAGAGAAGACAGUAGGAAUUCCAUUAUACUGAUUUUGCUUUCACCCUACAGUGUGUAUAUGAUAUGUAGUAAGGUAUUCUGGAUGGCUGUCCGCUGUUGUUGUGAAGAUAAUGCCAUCUUAAGUUUUGGGGUGUGUGUUACUGUUACCUGAAUCAAUGUAACUAGAAUAAUCUCAAAUGAUGAAAUAACAAAUGCUUUUCACAUCCUGGAAAGUACAUGCUCCUUGGACA